GCCCCUAGUGCACUGGGUAGAAGAGUACUCAGUAGGGAACCAACCCCCAGCCCCUAGUGCACUGGGUAGAAGAGUACUCAGUAGGGAACCAACCCCCAGCCCCUAGUGCACUGGGUAGAAGAGUACUCAGUAGGGAACCAACCCCCAGCCCCUAGUGCACUGGGUAGAAGAGUACUCAGUAGGGAACCAACCCCCAGCCCCUAGUGCACUGGGUAGAAGAGUACUCAGUAGGAAACCAACCCCCAGCCCCUAGUGCACUGGGUAGAAGAGUACUCAGUAGGGAACCAACCCCCAGCCCCUAGUGUACUUAGUAGAAGAGUACUCAGUAGGGAACCAAACCCAGCCCCUAGUGUAUUUAGUAGAAGAGUACUCUGUAGGGAACCAAACCCCAGCCCCUAGUGUACUUAGUAGAAUAGUACUCAGUAGGGAACCAAACCCCAGCCCCUAGUGUACUUAGUAGAAGAGUACUCAGUAGCGAACCAAACCCCAGCCCCUAGUGUAAUCAGUAGGGAACUACUUCAGAGCCAUUGCAGUAGAGUGGUUGAAAUUCUUUCCUCCUCGAUGUAACCAACCAGAUAGAUUGUUUCAGCUCAGUCUUUGAGGACGUCCAGUUUGCUGCUCAGUCUUUGAGGACGUCCAGUUUUCUGCUCAGUCUUUUGAGGACGUCCAGUUUGCUGCUCAGUCUUUGAGGACGUCCAGUUUGCUGCUCAGUCUUUGAGGACGUCCAGUUUGCUGCUCAGUCUUUGAGGACGUCCAGUUUGCUGAUCAGUCUUUGAGGACGUCCAGUUUGCUGCUCAGUCUUUGAGGACGUCCAGUUUGCUGCUCAGUCUUUGAGGAUGUCCAGUUUGCUGCUCAGUCUUUCGAGGACGUCCAGUUUGCUGCUCAGUCUUUGAGGACGUCCAGUUUGCUGCUCAGUCUUUCGAGGACGUCCAGUUUGCUGCUCAGUCUUUGAGGAUGUCCAGUUUGCUACUCAGUCUUUGAGGACGUCCAGUUUGCUGCUCAGUCUUUGAGAACGUCCAGUUUGCUGCUCAGUCUUUGAGAACGUCCAGUUUGCUGCUCAGUCUUUGAGGACGUCCAGUUUGCUGCUCAGUCUUUGAGGACGUCCAGUUUGCUGCUCAGUCUUUGAGGACGUCCAGUUUGCUGCUCAGUCUUUGAGGAAAUGCAGUUUGCUGAUCAGUCUUUGAGAACGUCCAGUUUGCUGCUCAGUCUUUGAGAACGUCCAGUUUGCUGCUCAGUCUUUGAGAACGUCCAGUUUGCUGCUCAGUCUUUGAGGACGUCCAGUUUGCUGCUCAUCCAGUUUGCUGCUCAGUCUUUGAGAACGUCCAGUUUGCUGCUCAGUCUUUGAGGAUGUCCAGUUUGCUGCUCAGUCUUCGAGGACGUCCAGUUUGCUGCUCAGUCUUCGAGGACGUCCAGUUUGCUGCUCAGUCUUCGAGGACGUCCAGUUUGCUGCUCAGUCUUCGAGGACGUCCAGUUUGCUACUCAGUCUUCGAGGACGUCCAGUUUGCUGCUCAGUCUUUGAGAACGUCAAGUUUGCUGCUCAGUCUUUGAGGACGUCCAGUUUGCUGCUCAGUCUUUGAGGACGUCCAGUUUGCUGCUCAGUCUUUGAGGACGUCCAGUUUGCUGCUCAGUCUUCGAGGACGUCCAGUUUGCUGCUCAGUCUUCGAGGACGUCCAGUUUGCUGCUCAGUCUUCGAGGACGUCCAGUUUGCUGCUCAGUCUUCGAGGACGUCCAGUUUGCUGCUCAGUCUUCGAGGACGUCCAGUUUGCUGCUCAGUCUUCGAGGACGUCCAGUUUGCUGCUCAGUCUUCGAGGACGUCCAGUUUGCUGCUCAGUCUUCGAGGACGUCCAGUUUGCUGCUAACGUAUUGUGUAAUAUUGCAAUAACUGUUAUAACAUCCAUGAUGCAGUUUAUAACCUGACCUUUAAUUCUGAUGUUAUCAAAGAGAUACAUGCGGCUCCAGUAUUUACUCAUUAAUGAAUUACUAUGUGACAGUGAUUUCUAAACAAAGCUAGAAAAUACUUCUAUACUAAAGAUCCUGCAUAGCUAUGUUUUGCAGGUUAGAUUGUAUCUAGCCCUAAACCUUCCACAGGUCUGUGUACCAGUCUGUUUCUGCUCUUGUGUCACUGGCUUGUUUAGUCAUGUAGCUAGCCAUGUUUGUCUCUGCUUUAGGCCAGGCAACAAUGUAGCCAUGUAGUGGCAUAGACACGUAUCCAUGCAGCCAUGUAGCUGAGUUGCCACAUAGUCAUGUAGCCACAUAGAUUGUAACAAUGUAGCCAUGCAGCGGAACUGGACACAGAAACCAGGCUAAUCUUCCAAAGGAUGCUAACUAACCCAGUUUUAGCUCUAAAACCAACCACAAUACCAAUGAUCUUUUUCUGUACUGAAAUUCCAAAUACUGUUACUACAUGGCAGUUAUGUACAUAUUGUUGUUUUGUUCCUUUUCCUCAUUUUAUCAUUUAACUGUAAGAUGUAAAUAUAGUUUUUUAUUGUUCCCGGAGGCUGUUGCCAUAGUGAUAACCAAAAUAUACCUGUGUUGUGCACCUGUCCCAGUCUCUUGCUCCAGUGGUUGUUUGUUUGUUCUCCCCAGUUCUACAGAUGUUUUCUCCCCCUCCCCACUCUAUAGCCACUGAGGUAAAUAAAGUCUGGUUUGGUGUACAUA
Long non-coding RNA from Oncorhynchus keta (chum salmon), 2658 nucleotides. RefSeq lists it as uncharacterized. The transcript is spliced from 2 exons. NCBI's taxonomy places the organism in Eukaryota, Metazoa, Chordata, Actinopteri, Salmoniformes, Salmonidae. The record is from RefSeq and is a predicted model, not a curated record.